Molecule: ribosomal RNA, 631 nt
Filed under: Sphenarium purpurascens purpurascens
Lineage: Eukaryota; Metazoa; Arthropoda; Insecta; Orthoptera; Pyrgomorphidae
Description: eukaryotic LSU rRNA
Source: RNAcentral
CGGGGAGAUUCACGUCCAUCCGGCCACUGGCCUCCGCUCUCGGCAGAUGGGGCCGGCCGCCCGCGCGGAGCARUCCGCGGCGGGGUCGUGUCCGGUUGCUUUUCCACUCGCCGCGGGGUGGAGCCGUUCCAGUGUGCGGUGGACCGCACUUCUCCCCUAGUAGGACGUCRCGACCCGCUGGGUGCCGGCCUACGGCCUGGGUGCGCAGCCUGUCCUUCCGUGGGCUUCGGUUCGCGUUGUUGGGCAGAGCCCCAGUGCUCUGGCUGGCUGCUCGGCGGUAUAUCUUGAGGAGUCGAUUCKCCAACUGUGUUUGGGCGCCCUUGGCUCCCGGCAAGCGUGCGCGGUUCUUCCCGGAUGACGGACCUACCUGGCCCGACCCCGGACCCACGCCGCUGUUGGCACGGGAAGUCCUCGGGCGGAAUGAUCGCUCCUGUCAGCGGCGCUUCAGCUUUGGACAAUUUCACGACCCGUCUUGAAACACGGACCAAGGAGUCUAACAUGUGCGCGAGUCAUUGGGCUCUGCGAAACCUAAAGGCGCAAUGAAAGUGAAGGUCCCGCCUCGCGCGGACCGAGGGAAGAUGGGGUUCUGCGCCCCUUUGGGGCGCCGGCCUCGGCAUUCCCGGGGCGUCUC